Molecule: ribosomal RNA, 313 nt
Filed under: Grania ovitheca
Lineage: Eukaryota; Metazoa; Annelida; Clitellata; Enchytraeida; Enchytraeidae
Description: partial 16S ribosomal RNA
Rfam family: Bacterial large subunit ribosomal RNA
Source: RNAcentral
GCAUAAUAACUUGUCCAUUAAUUGUGGGCUAGAAUGAAAGGGGUAACGAAAUAAGAACUGUUUCAAUAUUAUAUCAUAUAAACUAUUUUUAAAGUGAAGAAACUUUUAUAAUAUUAAAGGACAAGAAGACCCUAUAGAACUUUAUCAAACACUAUAUCAUAUAUUUAAUGAUUCGGUUGGGGCGACCUAGGAUAAAUCAUCCUUACUAACAUAGAUCAAUUAAUCUCACCACAGAUCCAUUUAUGAACUCAAACCAAGCUACCUUAGGGAUAACAGGCUAAUCUUUCUCUAGAGUUCUUAUCAACAGAAAGGA